UCAAUAAAUAAAUUAUCGGGGGGGGGGGGGGGGGGGGAAGGAAAGUCAGAAGGUAGAAAAGUGGAUGUUGUCUAUUGUCUGUUUUUCUUGAGACUUUAAAAUGUGUUUUGUUUUUUUUUUUCCCCUAAAUUUAUAUGCUCGUUAAUAUCUGAAUAUUGUCUUGCAGUGUUCCAGACUGAUUGAAAUGUUUGAAAAUUUAAUCAUUGGCUCUCUUCCACCCUGUAUAGGACAUAAUGCUUGCUUCAAUCUGUUUUGAGCAACAGGUCAACUAAAAUGGUUUUCUACUGUGGAGAUGGAAAAAGAGAGGGAGGUAAACAAAUUUGAACUGAAUGCAGAUUGAAAACUUCAUUGCAUAAGCCACAGAUGUACAAGGAGCAUCAACAUAUUCUUAUGCCAACAAUGUGGAGCAUUAGACCUAUAUAUAAUUUAAAUGUAGUGAAUCUCUGAUUUUCUUGUGUGCCUCAGGAUUCUACUGCAAUAUGAGUAAUAAAGCAAGAUUAGGUAGACUACCUUCACCUUUACUAAAUGGAUAUGGUAUGAAGAGGGCCUGUGAUACAAGAAGUAAUCCAGUUCCACUCUGGGGGGAAAAAAAACACAAACAAGUAGAAGGAAGCAAUUUGGCAUAUAAAUGCUUGGCACAUAAACCCAGGAGACACUGCUAACUCGAUUUAAUACAGCACAGUAUUUCUGGCUGUAAGAAGCACUAACUGGUCAUAUCAGCAGAUCUGUGGGGGAAGAGAGAGAGAGAGACUGGAGCUCAAGUUCAGCUGUGUUUGACUUCAUUUGGUUUUGCUCUGACCAGGAAGACUGACAGACUACAGGGAGAUGUGUAACUCCCUCUAGAGUGUUUCAUUUACAGCCCUGUCCUUUGCAAGGGGGGGACCAAAGUGCAAAUAACUCUGAGAGCAUAAGUGCAUGUAUAGAGCAUGCCACAAUGCUGUAUGAAAACAUAGAUAUGUCCCAAAAGCAUGACUGUGUACUCAGCGAUGGAAGGAGAUGAAGCAGAGAGGAGUCACUCUCUCCAGAGUAUUCCAGAGCUAUCAUGGCUCAUGCUGGGCAAAGCAUUUCUGUACCUCACUAAGCUUUCAAAUGAUAGGUUAUAAAUGGAGGCAGUUUCGAAAGGAAGAGUAACACUGGGAUGACAGAGGUUUGCAAAGUUGUUAAUAUUGCACUCCUCUACAAACUUAAGGUGGGUUGUAUAUAUAACUGAACAAAACUUGGUAGAUCCUCUGCAGCUAAUGAGAAGACUUCUUCAGACUCUUUCUUAUCUCCAGGGUCUGGGAAGCCUAAUCAGCAGUUCCUGCAGUAAAAACUGAAUCAGAAAAGGCAAACUCCUCCUUCUCAGUGUUCUCCGUUACCACCUAACUCAGCAGCAGGCGCACGUUUUCCCUAAUUUUCUUUCUUUUGCUAUACAUCAUUAUGUUAAAUUUACUUUCCCAAAGUAUUUAAGUAGAUUUAGUCACUCAUGAUACAUGGUUGUUGUAUAUGGAUCCAUUAUGUGAGACAUGAAAAACCUUUAACUGAACAAUAGCCUAUGACGUGAAUAUUUAUAUACAUGUAUAUUUGAUGGUUAAGUUCAGGCAUAGUAGUCUGUAUGGGAAACUGUUGAUCACAGCCUGAACCUCUGAUUAACCAUCUGAGGCAAGCGACAGCUGCGGGAGC
Molecule: long non-coding RNA, 1662 nt
Filed under: Coturnix japonica (Japanese quail)
Lineage: Eukaryota; Metazoa; Chordata; Aves; Galliformes; Phasianidae
Description: lncRNA (ENSCJPG00005007743.1)
Source: RNAcentral